AUUGAACGCUGGCGGCAUGCUUUACACAUGCAAGUCGAGCGGUAACAGGCCGCAAGGUGCUGACGAGUGGCGAACGGGUGAGUAAUGCAUCGGAACGUGCCCAGCCGUGGGGGAUAACUACUCGAAAGAGUAGCUAAUACCGCAUACGAUCUAUGGAUGAAAGCGGGGGACCGUAAGGCCUCGCGCGAUUGGAGCGGCCGAUGUCAGAUUAGGUAGUUGGUGGGGUAAAGGCUCACCAAGCCAACGAUCUGUAGCUGGUCUGAGAGGACGACCAGCCACACUGGGACUGAGGCACGGCCCAGACUCCUACGGGAGGCAGCAGUGGGGAAUUUUGGACAAUGGGCGCAAGCCUGAUCCAGCAAUGCCGCGUGCAGGAAGAAGGUCUUCGGGUUGUAAACUGCUUUUGUACGGAACGAAACGGCUCUGGUUAAUACCCGGGGCUAAUGACGGUACCGUAAGAAUAAGCACCGGCUAACUACGUG
This 482-nucleotide ribosomal RNA is filed under the name uncultured bacterium. RNAcentral describes it as "partial 16S ribosomal RNA". It matches the Rfam family "Bacterial small subunit ribosomal RNA", at positions 30 to 507 of the family's 1533-position model. The record is from RNAcentral.